This is a long non-coding RNA of Equus asinus (donkey), 8478 nucleotides long. The record is from Ensembl. Lineage: Eukaryota; Metazoa; Chordata; Mammalia; Perissodactyla; Equidae.
UCAAUUUUUAAAUUUUAUUCAUAAUAUAUAGAUACAGUGCUGUAAAUGCUAGGUGUUACAGGCAUUUUUCAAACAUUAACUCCUUUAGUACUCUCCAUGGCCUUACAAAGUAGGUACGCUUAUCAUUACUGUCAACUGACAGAUGAAGAAACUGAGGUACCAACAAGGUAAGUAACUUGAUCAAUACAAAUAACCAGUAAGCGAUUGAGUUGGAGUUUGAACAUAAGAUGUCGGCUCAUAUUCUAUGCUCUUAACUAUGAUAUUUAAUCUCUAAAGACUUCACAUCAUGAAAAAAUUGGAUCAAUUUAUCCAUUUUCUUGAUAUAUCCCAUAGCCACACUAUUUUGUCUGAAUAAUACCUAUAGAGAAACUAUUGUACAUACACACCCAAAUUACUUCUGCCAGCAUCCCCACUUCCUAAAAGUUAAUACAGAGAACAUUUCAAAACAUUUCUUGUCCUGGCUGGGAGGUCUCUGAGAAAAUCUCAUUGUUCAUCUAAUAAGCCAAGGGCCGGCUGGGAGUUGGGUCUCAGGGGAAAGGUGACCUCAGGAGAACCAGUGAAUUACCGAAUUGCUGGGAGGAUCUCAGCAGUAACUGAAUUCAGGAUCUGGUGGUGUUUCAACCUGGGUGCCUGGUGUAACCAGGAUUUGCAUCUGCUUCAGACAAAGCAGACAGCCCUUCCUCAUGGACUCAACUUUAUCUAAAUGUGAUCAAGACAAAAUAAAUAAUGUCAUGCACCUCUGGAUGUGAGACUGUGCUGGGAGGUUCUGAAAGGCCUCACUGAGGUGAUUAUUUGCUGUAGCCAGAAUGACAAGUGUAAGCCACCCCUGCCUAUAUCUGGGAACAGUUAGCAUGUCAGGGAGAAGGCACCCCUGGUGCAGAGAUUCACAGGAAGAAGUGAGUUUGACCAGAGGAGGUCAGAAAGGUGGCAGGUGUGGCUGGAGAGAGCCUGAUAAGAGAGAGGAGGGUGAUAGGGCCAGAUCGUGGGACAUGGUGGACUGUGUUAGUUUCUGUUCCUCUAUGACAACAUUGCUCCAAAACCUUCCACCCAUAAGGAACAAAUAGUUAACAUCCUGCACUUUCUGUGGGCCAGGGAUCAGGCAGAGCUUAGCUGGGUGCCUCAGCUUCAAAUUCUCUAUGAAGCAGGGGCUGGGGUCUCAACAGGGCUCAACUGGGGGAGGACUCCCACCCAAGAUCGCUGACAUGGGUGUUGUCAGGAUUCAUCUGGACUGAGAGUCUGAGUUCCUGCCCGUCUGUUGGCUGGGCACCCCCUCAGUUCUCUCCUAUGGAGCCUCUACACAGGGCAACUGAAAGCAUCAGUGCUUGCUCUCUCAGUUCCAGAGAUAAGACAGAGAGAGAGCUGCAAACAGGAGAGAGAGAAUGAGGGAAUCCAAGAAGGCCUGUAAGAAGGAAGUGACAGGCUCUUCGUAAUUAAAACUUGGAAGUGACAUCCCAUCACCUUGGGGGCAUUCUGUUGAUCAGAAGCCAGUUACUAACCACUUAGUUGUCACAUAAGGACGUGCACUCCAGGAGGCAGGGAGCAGUGGGAGCCAUUGUGGAGGCUGCCCCACACACAGGCCGCCAUGAGGCACUUGGGUCUGAUUCUAAGUAAAACAGGAGACCCUGGGAAACUUUUGCCAGUGGAUCACAAUAUAUGAAUUUCUUCUAAUUUCAACCCCUGAAAAGUGCAGACCUGAAAAUGAGGCCCAGGGGGCAGUGAGUGUCCCAAUCUUCCAUCUUCCAUCUCUAAGUUUCUGUAUCAGACACAUGUGACUCUAACCCACAGAAGUUAUAGGUAUUAUCACAUAUACAUCUGAUGAUGUGCCUAGGAAAUUGGUUUUAGCACCAUCUCCACUGUGCAGGUUGGGAGACUGGGGAGGCCAUGAGAGGCACAAAUGGCUUUUCCAGGACUCAGAAUUGGUAGGAAAAAACAGGUCUGAACUCAGCUGUGUCUCCUCAAAGCUAGGGCCCUGGUCCCAUUCCCAGAGUGCUGUGGGGAGGGCAGUGAUGGAUAUUUGUGUACAAUUAUGGAGAUGACAUGGGCAAGGGUGAUGAGCAGUCAACAGCCCAGAGGGGGCUAUGGGUGGGUCUUAUUGAAGGAAGGGGCCCAGAUAAUGGAACCUUGAGAAGUGACCUCACUUCUUUGGUGACAGACCCCAACAGAACUUAGAACUUUGGUUACCAGGCACCCACAUUCUAGACACAGCCUCACAUCCAGCUCACUUGAAUGGAGACACUCAAGAGAGCAGGAUGUUCUCAUGUUGUGCCCCAACUUUCCGAAGCUCUGGCUUCUAGAAAUCUGACGAGAGCCUUUUUACCCACUGUAGACAUUGACUCAACUCUCACCUCUAACACCUCUGGCCUUUUGGCAGGAGGAACCCUCAGGCAACACAGGGCAACCCAGGGCAGGCCACUCCAGGUCAGGUCACAACUGUGCUCCCACCUGGCCAGCCCCACACCCCUUGAUGCUCAAGGUGUGUGUGUGUGUUUGGGAGGUGCACUUAGGAAAGGUGGGGAUGAGGGGGGACACAUCCCGGGUAGGAGCAGGUAGUGAGAUGUUGGAAGUCUGGCAAUGGGUCAUCUUCAUACCCCACAUCUUGGCUGGCAGGGUAGGAAGUUGAGUGCCGGGGACCGAGCUCCUUUAUCCCUAUGUGAAUCCCAAGCCCACCAGGUGUCAUCACAUUCCAGCCCUGGCUGGAGGUCUAUGCAGGUGCCCCUCUGAGCCUGAUCUGUGGUGUGGGAUCCCCCUGGUGAGGUCCAGGCAGGCCCCUGAUCCCUCCUGGUCUUUCUCCCGGGCACUGUGUUUGCAGAACUGCACCCACAAGAUGGUCACAUAGUUAGUGAAUGGUUUCAACUAUGCCAUCUCCCUGGACAGGGGGCGGGUGCUCCAGGCCACCAACAAUGACCCGGGCCGGGUCUUUUCUCUGCAUUAGUGCAGAGGGGUCUUCACACCCAGGACCCUGAGAUGACCGAGGCAGUACCAGAAUCCAGACCCAAAUCUGAGACUCCCCUGAGAUGCUCCCAGUGUUUUCUCACUAGAGUGUCCCACAGUCCCACUCCCAAAGGAAUCACGACCUCCCCUCCUCCCCACCAGCUACAUAGGCAGAAAGAAAGUAACCUCCAUCCUCCUAGUGGUUCACGGUGAUGCCACUGAUUGUUUUUGUGUCCCUCCUCCUUCCACCCAGACUGAAGAUGACCCCAUUGUGAAUUAAAAUGAGGCCUGCAGGUUGCGGUCCCUCCAGCAGACCUGAUGGAGACUGACAAAGUCCAUGGCACCAGCUUUCCUAGGUAGAAACAUCUCAAAUGUCACCACCUUUGUGUUCAACUACUCGGCCUUCAACACAUCCCACCAGGUCCUGGACCAGCUGUUUACUGGGUGACUGCCCACUGCCAGCUGUAAUUCUUGUAAUGUCACUGCAUCUCCCUGAGCCUCACUUUGCUCCUCUGAAAAGCGGGGUGGGAGAGGAUAAACUUCAUGGAGUUCUUGGAGGGACUAAUGGGAUCAGCCAUGGUGGGUGCUGACCUGGUGCCUGGCUCUGCAAAUGGGGCUGUGGGGUGAGCUGUGGUUGUUCAUGGUUAGUAUUGGUUCUUCCUCAUGGAAAGUAGUCUGUCUCACCCGUCUCUGGGAUGUGGUCUUUCUGAGUUUGGCAAAGCACAUGGACACCAACAUGUCAAGGAGUUUCAGAAUCCAGAGAGAUGGUCCUGGUCCUUGUGCUUGGUGGGGCCAAUUAAGGAUGUCUGGGGAACAGAGGGGCCCCAGGCCCACUCAGACAUCUGGGAUGCUUCUGGCUGGACUUCAUUCAUUCAACCAUGUAUGAGAAGCACCUACUAAGUGCAGGAUUUUUGGAGACACUUAGCAUAACUCAGUGAAUCCAGGUGUCCAACAGAUACAACCCCUAUGUCUCAGUUGUAAUCUGAGAGUCAAACAGUCACAUUAGACAUCAUUCGCAGGUCCUGUCGUCCAUCGCACAUCCCAAAUGAUGCUCUCGUCACCACCUUUACAUCCGGAAGCAUCUUCCAUUAUCAAAACCAGGAGGGCAGACCAUAGGAUGCCGUAAUAAAAUGAGUGGCCUCUGGGUCCAGAAGGAGAGCACCCUGUCUCUACAGAACAGGGUUGGGGGAAAUGGGGGACUGUGGCUGGGGCCAGGCUGGCAAAACCCUGCAUCUCACACAUGUUUUGAUUCUCACUGGAAGGCUGAGGUCUGAUGGCUUCCAUUCCAGGAGGUCAGGAUUCAAAUACCUGUAGAUGGGUCCCAGGACCCCUGGGAACCAGAAUGGAGGCUGGGCUGGGCUGUCCCCUAGAGACCCAUCCCCACCACAGUCCUAUCUUGAUCUGCCUCCCCUUCUCCACAUCCACUUCUUCGGACCACCUCCAGCAGGCCCAGAACAGGAGGUGUGUGAGCAACAUGGUCCCACAUCUGCCUCAGUCCUCAGUCCAGUUGCACAAAUGCAUGGAGGGCUGGGGUGGGCCUUGUCCGAGCCCUUCAGGAAGAGAGUGACAGUGGGAAGAACAGACUCACAACAGACUCUGUGUUCAACUUGCUGGAUGAGCCAUCCUGCCACCACCAGGACAGCCACACAGGCGGGACUGGACUGGGGCUCUCCUCUGGAUGGGAAUGGGCGGGCACAGGGGCCCAGACCAAAUAAGGGUGCCUUCAGUGGGCAGUGUGGAGGGAAAGACCAGGCCUCUGACUCUGUUGCCCAAUGCCUUCCCCCAGUACCGUCUCUUCGCAGAUGAAGCUGGCCCGUGUGCACAUGAGCUCGCCUACCUCAGAGUGGGAGGGCCACGCCUCCCUCCUCCCAGUCCAGCUGGAGCCUCCAGAGCCCGUGGAGGCAGAGCUGGAAGGACCAUCUCCAGAGCUCCCACCAGCUCCAGAGCCAGAGCAAGGACCAGCUCCAUGACCCGGGCCAGCUCCAAUUCUAGUUCUACCACCUGUGCUAGAGCUGGAGCAAGUCUCACCUCCAUCAGUCCCCCCAGGGCCAGAGCCAUGCCAACAACAGCUCCAGCCCCAGGGCCAGAUCCAGCUGGAGCCCGCUGGACCCUUAUCUCCAGGGAGAACACUUCCUCCAUCUGGAGAGAUUACAUCAUAGCUGAUCCAGCCGCAGAGCCCACCUGCCCCCAGGCUGUGACCACCAAGAGCCUGCUGUGGGAGCAGAAGCCUGACUUCCUGGAGUUCCCUCCCCAGCUGAUUGCAGAGCAAUUUACACUGAUGGAUGCGGUGAGCAGCAGGGCUCUCAGGGCAGGUGGGGCCGGCCUUCCCUGUGCCAUCAGAGGCCCAAGACCUGCUGUUUCCUGAUCCAGAAUCCCAUGUCCUACAUCCAAUCCCAGCUUUCCCACUUACACACAUGUGCCCUGGGCAACCUCUUAACUCCCAAGCCUGUGCUGUCCGCAUGUGGACACUAGACAUGGACAAAAGAGCAUCUGCCAGGCAUAGCGGCUGUGCAGACGAAUGAGGCGGAACAGAGAGGAAGGUGGGCAGAGUCUGGCCCUUUGGCAGGGGAGGGGAGGUCACUGAAGGGCUGUCAGGUCCUUGGGUGGGUCAUCCAUUUGCACAGGAGGCAUCAACAGCCUUAGCAAUUAUUAGGCACCUCAUAAGUACAUGACUACCUGGGAGACAAACAUACAAAGAUUGUGAUUGUCACUCCUGGGGAGGACUGCACAUCUGAACGAGGAGUCUGGCCCCAGGGUGAUCAGAAAAGGUGGGCGAUCGUCAAGUAUCAGCGGGGUUCUGGUGCCUGUAGUAGUGAGACUGGGCUGGGAGCGAAUGCCACUUUCCUUCCCCGCACUAUUGCUCCUGGGUCAUCCUGUGCUGGGUGCCCUCAGUGGGCAUAGACAAAACCCAGGGACCCCCACAAGCCCCAGGCCACAUCCUCAGCUUCCUGAGCUCCAGCUCUGACCACUGACUCUGCCUGGGACUGUGGACUGUGGACAUGGAGCAGGCAUGUGACAGGGCUGGGUGACACUCUCUUCCUCCCCAGGAGCUGUUCAAGAAAGUGAUCCCCCCCACUGUCUAGACUCCAUCUGGUCCCCAUGGGACAGCAGGGGCAAUGAGCACCUGGCAUGCACCAUCCGUGCCACCAUCACCCAGUUUAUCACAGUGGUCAACUGUGUUGUCACCACCUGCCUGGGGGACCUGAGCAUGACAGCCCAGGACAGGGCCAGGGUGGUGGAGCUCUGGAUCCACGUGUCCAAGGUACCUUCUGGGCGGCCCAGGAAGCCCCUCUCUGGAGUCAUGGAAACUGCCCCUUCUCCUUCCUCAGCUCUCAGGAUUGAAGUCUGUGCUCUGAGCCCUUGCACAGUCCCCAGGCCCCUCCUGCCGGGGCCUCACUGACCUUGACUCCUGGUGCCAGCGUGGGAACCUCACUUCUUCCUGGGCUCCUUCCUUGGGUUGAGCUCAAAUUCUCCAACCUGGGAAUGCUACUCAUCAGGUCCCAGGGGUGCCCUCACUGGGUUCCUCAGCAUGUGUCUCAUCCAAGACAGGAGAUGUCCAUGAGGGGACUAAAGGCAGAGGCAGUAGGGCUCCAGCUCUCCUCACCAGCUCACUCUCUUCCCUUCCCCAGGAGUGCCAAGGCCUGAGGAACUUCCCUCCACUGCACGCCAUCCUCUCUGCUCUGCAGAGCUGCACGAUCCAUAGGCUCAAAAAGACAUGGGGACACGUUUCCAGGUGGGUAGGCCUCUCUUCAUGUGAGCAUCACCUGGGAAGACCAGACACCCCCCAUAGUGCUGGCAUUGCCCCCUGAGUAAGCUGGCACCACCUGGGAGACAGCAAACCCUGGUGACAGAGACUCACCUGGCUGGCGGACUCUGAGUCUCUCUGGAAACUUAGGCCGGGGGCUUCUGCUUCAGGAAUCAGUGUCCCUGAAUGUCAGGUCCUGGGUUGAGGCAAAUUGAAGAUUUUCAAGUAUUUGCUUUGCAGCAACAGAACUCUCCGUCCAGCUGAAACCACGAUGUUUGAAAACACACCUGCUCAGGAGUUACAGGAAUGGAGGCCCAGGUGACACCGGGAGAGCCCCCUCCCCAGUCCUGUGGAGACCCCAGGGCUCAGAGGACCCAGGGAAAACGCUUAUCCAGGAUGUUUGGAUAUUCUGGGUUUUCAAAAACAAGGAUUUACCCUUAAACCACUGCACAGGUUUUCAUUCCUUUUCCCCCCUCGGGAAGAGCUCUCAAAAAUUUUACAGAAUUGUGCACCAAGGACCAGCAGGUGAGCAGGAAGCUGCUCAUGGAGGUGAGUGGAGGCUGCAGAUCUGGAAGGAGGGGAGGGGUGAGGGGAGGAGGGAGCAGGCAGGAUGUGCUUUGCUGGGUUUUUCCCUUAAAGUUUCUCUGAGGAAUAACCAUCUAUAUUGUUCUGAUUGACAGGAAGAGAGGUGUUAGCUGCGUGGAUGGGUGGGGGCAGUUAGGGACAGGAGGCCUUGGUCAUGGGGCCCAGAGGUGUUGGCUGGACUGUCCAGGAGGGAGAGGAGCCAGCAGGAUGAGCAGGUCUCUGGCUCCCAUGUGGGUCCAUCAGCCGGCACUUGACUCUCUCCAGGCUGUGGGUGGAUGGAGGGGGUGGGGAUUCUUUUCUUCCUAAAGCAGCCCUGUCUGUCCUCAGGAAGCCAGGCCCCUGAUGCUCCUUCUGUCUUUGCUGCACGUCCAAGGACAGGGCACCCUGCCUGCCCCAGGGAUGGGCACUGCGUGGUCCCAUGGGCCAGGUGGACAUGGGCACUGCCCAGCAUGGGAUGAAUGGUGGACCUGGGACAGAACUGUGUGCUCUCUGGGACUCCCCACUGUGCCCUGAUAGUGGUCACUGCUGACAUACCCAGUGGGGUUCUCACUUGGUGCCUUGUUGGCAGGGCACAUGCCCCAGAUGGCAAUGAGAGUAUCGGGGGAUCCAGUAGAUUCUUCGUGGACCUUCCUGACUGGAUGUUAGAAGUUUCCAAGAACAAAAGGAAGCAAAUGUCACCAUCAACCAGUGCCCUGGUCACCCUGUAACUGUCACUCAGAUGUGGCACUAGGGGUCACCUUCCUGAGUGGAUGAAAAGAGAGUUCUGUUCAGGGGAACAUCCUGAGGGAUCCUAGGGAGCUGAGGCCUUUGGCAUGGCCUCAGGUAUAGCCUGGGGUCAGAGAAUCCCAGGGGGCUGGGACAGGUAGAUGCCACUUGGACAGGCUCUCUGAGACACCCUGCCCCUUGUCAUCCAUGGCUCAGCCUGGCUGAGGGUCUGCUCACACCCCGAGAGUCCAGAGGACAUGACCUUGUUCAGAGGUGUGUCUGUAGGUGGGGUGAAGGCAGAUGGACAGGGCCUCUGGCUGGGAGGGGAAGGGGUCUCUCCUCUGUGGGCCUCUGAGCAAGUCAAGCCCCUCUGUGAGCCUCGGUCUCCUCAUGUGGGACGUGGAGGGAGGUGAUCUGUGGUACAAGCCCCACAAACGGGGGAUGAGGUUCAAGGGAGGAGAGGAAUGUGCAGGAGCUGUGUGCCGCCUCCUCCUCGAGGGGUGAGGAGGAGG